This 392-nucleotide long non-coding RNA is filed under the name Musa acuminata (dwarf banana). Its description in RNAcentral is "long non-coding RNA (MACU_LNC011142)". Lineage: Eukaryota; Viridiplantae; Streptophyta; Magnoliopsida; Zingiberales; Musaceae. The record is from RNAcentral.
UUUAUGUGAUUCAGAUACUAUUUCCGAGAUACCGCUCAGCUGCCUUUCCGAACAACACUCCUUACUACUCAUUUCAUUAAGAAUGGUGAAUUCAAAACUAUACCACGGGUUUGCGCUGUAGCUUCUUCCGUUGUUUGGACCACAACUCGUUUAAGGCUUUCCUUCCCUUAAUCCUGAUUGCCCUACCCUGGUAUAUCAAAAGGCGUAAUCAUACCUAGUUCUAGACUUUCUUGCUGCUUUCUUUCGCGCUCCACUCUCAUACCUAACUUAUCCUUUCAGUGCUGACCUUAGACUCUGGCUUGCUCGUACCUUCUCUAGCUUAUUAUGAUUUGCCUUGGAUACAUUCCUCUGCUCCCUAUUAUAAAGCCUAAAAGAAUGCAAUUUGAAGCUGG